GAUGAACGCUGGCGGCGUGCCUAAUACAUGCAAGUCGAGCGAACGGACGAGAAGCUUGUUUCUCUGAUGUUAGCGGCGGACGGGUGAGUAACACGUGGAUAACCUACCUAUAAGACUGGGAUAACUUCGGGAAACCGGAGCUAAUACCGGAUAAUAUUUUGAACCGCAGGGUUCAAAAGUGAAAGACGGUCUUGCUGUAACUUAUAGAUGGAUCCGCGCUGCAUUAGCUAGUUGGUAAGGUAACGGCUUACCAAGGAAACGAUGCAUAGCCGACCUGAGAGGGUGAGCGGCCACACUGGAACUGAGACACGGUCCAGACUCCUACGGGAGGCAGCAGUAGGGAAUCUUCCGCAAUGGGCGAAAGCCUGACGGAGCAACGCCGCGUGAGUGAUGAAGGUCUUCGGAUCGUAAAACUCUGUUAUUAGGGAAGAACAUAUGUGUAAGUAACUGUGCACAUCUUGACGGUACCUACUCAGAAAGCCACGGCUACCUCCGU
RNAcentral lists this ribosomal RNA (496 nucleotides) under uncultured bacterium. RNAcentral's name for it is "partial 16S ribosomal RNA". It matches the Rfam family "Bacterial small subunit ribosomal RNA", at positions 28 to 506 of the family's 1533-position model. The record is from RNAcentral.